This 443-nucleotide ribosomal RNA is filed under the name uncultured bacterium. RNAcentral's name for it is "partial 16S ribosomal RNA". It matches the Rfam family "Bacterial small subunit ribosomal RNA", at positions 338 to 795 of the family's 1533-position model. The record is from RNAcentral.
CCUACGGGAGGCUGCAGUGGGGAAUAUUGCGCAAUGGAGGAAACUCUGAUGCAGCAACGCCGCGUGAAUGAUGAAGUUCUUCGGAUUGUAAAGUUCUGUGAUGGGGGAUGAACACAAUGACGGUACCCCAGUAGCAACCCGCUGCUAACGACGUGCCAGCAGCCGCGGUACUACGUAGGUGGCAAGCGUUAUCCGGAAUGACUGGGCGUAAAGGGUGCGGAGGUGGUUUAGCAAGUUGGAGGUGUAAGUCCGGGGCUCAACCUCGGCGCUACCGCCAAAACUAUUAGGCUAGAGUGCAGGAGAGGUAAGUGGAAUUCCUAGUGUAGCGGUGAAAUGCGUAGAUAUGAGGAGGAACAUCAGGGGCGAAGGCGACUUACUGGACUGUAACUGACACUGAGGCACGAAAGCGUGGGGAGCAAACAGGAUUAGAUACCCGAGUAGUC